UACGUAGGGUGCAAGCGUUAAUCGGAAUUACUGGGCGUAAAGCGUGCGCAGGCGGUUAUGCAAGGCAGAUGUGAAAUCCCCGGGCUUAACCUGGGAACUGCAUUUGUGACUGCAUAGCUGGAGUACGGCAGAGGGGGAUGGAAUUCCGCGUGUAGCAGUGAAAUGCGUAGAUAUGCGGAGGAACACCGAUGGCGAAGGCAGUCCCCUGGGCCUGUACUGACGCUCAUGCACGAAAGCGUGGGGAGCAAACAGG
Molecule: ribosomal RNA, 253 nt
Filed under: uncultured bacterium
Lineage: Bacteria
Description: partial 16S ribosomal RNA
Rfam family: Bacterial small subunit ribosomal RNA
Source: RNAcentral